GCGAACGGGUGAGUUAAGCAUCGGAACGUAUCCUAUAGUGGGGGAUAAUCCUAGCGAAAGCUAGCUAAGUACCUGCAUACGGCCCUGAGGGGGAAAGUGGGGGACUCGCAAGAGCCUUACGCUAUUGGAGCGGCCGAUGUCGGAUUAGCUAGUUGGUGAGGUAAAGGCUUACCAAGGCUGACGAUCCGUAGCUGGUUUGAGAGAACGACCAGCCACACUGGGACUGAGACACGGUCCAGACUCCUACGGGAGGCAGCAGUGGGGAAUUUUGGACAAUGGGGGCAACCCUGUAUCCAGCCAUGCCGCGUGAGUGAAGAAGGCCUUCGGGUUGUAAAGCUCUUUCAGCGGGGACAAAACGGCAUCCGCGAAUUAACGGGUGUUCAAUGAUGGUACCCGAAGAAGAAGGCACCGGCUUACUACGUGCCAGCAGCCGCGGUAAUACGUAGGGUGCGAGCGUUAAUCGGAAUUACUGGGCGUAAAGCGUGCGCAGGUGGUUUCGUAAGUCAGAUGUGAAAUCCCCGGGCUUAACCUGGGAAUGGCAUUUGAGACUGCGAAGCUGAGUACGGCAGAGGGAG
Molecule: ribosomal RNA, 575 nt
Filed under: uncultured bacterium
Lineage: Bacteria
Description: bacterial SSU rRNA
Rfam family: Bacterial small subunit ribosomal RNA
Source: RNAcentral